RNAcentral lists this ribosomal RNA (505 nucleotides) under uncultured bacterium. RNAcentral describes it as "partial 16S ribosomal RNA". It matches the Rfam family "Bacterial small subunit ribosomal RNA", at positions 28 to 507 of the family's 1533-position model. The record is from RNAcentral.
GACGAACGCUGGCGGCGUGCCUAAUACAUGCAAGUAGAACGCACAGUUUAUACCGUAGCUUGCUACACCAUAAACUGUGAGUUGCGAACGGGUGAGUAACGCGUAGGUAACCUGCCUGGUAGCGGGGGAUAACUAUUGGAAACGAUAGCUAAUACCGCAUAAUAUUGAUUAUUGCAUGAUAAUUGAUUGAAAGAUGCUAUUGCAUCACUACCAGAUGGACCUGCGUUGUACUAGCUAGUAGGUGAGGUAACGGCUCACCUAGGCGACGAUACAUAGCCGACCUGAGAGGGUGAUCGGCCACACUGGGACUGAGACACGGCCCAGACUCCUACGGGAGGCAGCAGUAGGGAAUCUUCGGCAAUGGACGAAAGUCUGACCGAGCAACGCCGCGUGAGUGAAGAAGGUUUUCGGAUCGUAAAGCUCUGUUGUAAGAGAAGAACGGGUGUGAGAGUGGAAAGUUCACACUGUGACGGUAUCUUACCAGAAAGGGACGGCUAACUACGUG